GAUCCUGGCUCAGGACGAACGCUGGCGGCGUGCCUAACACAUGCAAGUCGAACGAGAAUCUUUGGAAUGAUUCUUUCGGGAUGAAUUCCAAAGAGGAAAGUGGCGGACGGGCGAGUAACGCGUGAGUAACCUGCCCAUAAGAGGGGGAUAAUCCAUGGAAACGUGGACUAAUACCGCAUAUUGUAGUUAAGUUGCAUGACUUGAUUAUGAAAGAUUUAUCGCUUAUGGAUGGACUCGCGUCAG
Molecule: ribosomal RNA, 243 nt
Filed under: uncultured bacterium
Lineage: Bacteria
Description: partial 16S ribosomal RNA
Rfam family: Bacterial small subunit ribosomal RNA
Source: RNAcentral